GCAAUGGGCGAAAGCCUGACGGUGCAACGCCGAGUGAACGAUGAAGGUCUUCGGAUUGUAAAGUUCUGUUGUUAGGGAAGAACAAGUGCCGUUCGAAUAGGUCGGCACCUUGACGGUACCUAACCAGAAAGCCCCGGCUAACUACGUGCCAGCAGCCGCGGUAAUACGUAGGGGGCAAGCGUUGUCCGGAAUUAUUGGGCGUAAAGCGCGCGCAGGCGGUCUCUUAAGUCUGAUGUGAAAGCCCACGGCUCAACCGUGGAGGGUCAUUGGAAACUGGGGGACUUGAGUGUAGGAGAGGAAAGUGGAAUUCCACGUGU
Molecule: ribosomal RNA, 317 nt
Filed under: Pseudomonas sp. 2995-3
Lineage: Bacteria; Pseudomonadati; Pseudomonadota; Gammaproteobacteria; Pseudomonadales; Pseudomonadaceae
Description: bacterial SSU rRNA
Rfam family: Bacterial small subunit ribosomal RNA
Source: RNAcentral